GGGCGAGACACGUAAUAACACGGGCGAGACACGUAAUACACGGGGCGAGACACGUAAUAACACGGGGCGAGACACGUAAUAACACGGGGCGAGACACGUAAUAACACGGGGAGAGACAUAAACACGGGGCGAGACACGCAAUAACACGGGGAGAGACACGUAAUACAUGGGGCGAGACACGUAAUAACACGGGGCGAGACACGUAAUAACACGGGGCGAGACACGUAAUACACGGGGCGAGACACGUAAUAACACGGGGCGAGACACGUAAUAACACGGGGCGAGACACGUAAUAACACGGGGCGAGACACAUAAUAACACGGGGCGAGACACGUAAUAACACGGGGCGAGACACGUAAUAACACGGGGCGAGACACGUAAUACACGGGCGAGACACGUAAUAACACGGGGCGAGACACGUAAUAACACGGGGCGAGACACGUAAUAACACGGGGCGAGACGCGUAAUAACACGGGGUGAGACGCGUAAUAACACUGGGGCGAGACACGUAAUAACACGGGGUGAGACACGUAAUAACACGGGGUGAGACACGUAAUAACACGGGCGAGACACGUAAUAACACGGGGCGAGACACGUAAUAACACGGGGCGAGACGCGUAAUAACACGGGGCGAGACACGUAAUAACACGGGGCGAGACACGUAAUAACACGGGGUGAGACACGUAAUAACACGGGGUGAGACACGUAAUAACACGGGGCGAGACACGUAAUAACACGGGGAGAGACACGUAAUACACGGGGCGAGACACGCAAUAACACGGGGAGAGACACGUAAUACAUGGGGCGAGACACGUAAUAACACGGGGCGAGACACGUAAUAACACGGGGCGAGACACGUAAUAACAUGCAGCACGAAAGCCAAAGCAACAAUGCACAGGUACUCACAAGACCCACAGUCAUGGAAACAAUACCUGACCAAGACAAUGGUGAACAAAGGGGACAUUUAUAUAAUUGCUAAUCAGAGGAAAUGGGAACCAGGUGUGUGUAAUUAGACAGCUCAGUGAUGCCUAGAAAGCCAGUGACGUAGGCUUCCAGAACUGGUGCACGGAAUGAGCAGCAGUAUGGGAGUUAGAUGCCUUUUUAAACAUUCAAUACACUACAAGUUUGCAUUUCCAGGAAGCAGGAAAAUUCUCGACAACAAAAGAGUGAUCAAAUUAAGAUCUACGUCUGUAGCACAAUACAACACAACACAAUAUGAGCCUGGUUCAUUUUCAGUGAUGAGGCCCUGUACCCCAUUUACAGUUUCUACUUCAAUGUAUCAGGUGGAGUUAUUCACCAGCUAUAGAGUGAGUUGUUGUUUAUGUUUCUAAGACUGCAAGGUGGGAGAUGCAACAAUGGUCUUGAGAACAGCUGGAAGUGUGUUGGUGGUCUUUCUCUGGUCUGUAACAGUGGUACUGGGUCAGGAUGGCUGGAGUGUUACAUACACCACUCAGAGUAUCUGUACCUUGAAGGGGUCAUCAGUGGAUCUGUUCUGCUCUUACACAUAUCCCAGUGGUUAUACGGUCACAACAACCUUCUGGUUCACUAAGAUUGUAAAUCUGAGAGACGACCCAGACAACAAAGGUCGUGUGACGUACCGUAGAGAUAGGAUGAAUGUCCACACCCUGAGAAUCACAGACCUGAGAGAGAGUGACUCAGCUGAGUACAAGUUCAGAUUUAUAACAGGUCAGACUGGAGAGAAAUAUACUGGUGAUCCU
This is a long non-coding RNA of Oncorhynchus tshawytscha (Chinook salmon), 1718 nucleotides long. The record is from Ensembl. NCBI's taxonomy places the organism in Eukaryota, Metazoa, Chordata, Actinopteri, Salmoniformes, Salmonidae.